AGAUCUGGAGAGCAGUGGUCUUGCACAGUACAGCCAAGAUGGGGUGAAGGACUUCUCACAGAUUUACACAGACACAGAGAAUGGUCAAUUACUGGUUGGAGCAAGAGAUACAUUGUUGAGACUAGACCUUGACACAUUAACAGAAAUUGAGAAAGCUGAGUGGAAGCCUAAUGAGAUAAAUACAGCCAUCUGUGAGAGCAAGGGCGAAUCUCAGGUAAGCGGGGAAACCUCUUGAUCUGUGAUGUAUUAUUCUUGUAUGAUAUCUUCAUGGCUUUCUAAAACCUUAAAAGCAUUAACUUGAAAUUUGGAAGUCUUGGGAUUGGCCUAAUACAUUAUAUUGCCAUAUAAAUUGCCCUUACUGUUUGGAAAACUUAGGUUGUUAUAUUUCUCCUUUAUAAAAACUAAUUAAAAGUUUAUUUUUGUCAGAGCAGAUGAUCUUUGGAAUUGUACCUAAUCUGAAGUCCUUUGAUGGAGUUUGGUGCUUCCUCUAUUACAUCUGUGAAUAUCUCAUAUGGUAUUAGGACAUGGAUAAAUUUGUACAAGGUUGUAGAGCCCUAUUUCAUGGUUUUGACCACAUCAUACGAUAGAGGAAGGAAUGGUUAUGAUAAAUAAGAAAAUUGGGUUUUUGUUUCAAACCUAUCUGGAUUCCUUGUAGGGGCUCUGUCGGCUUGAGGGUACCUUCUAGCCUUCCCUACAUACACCUGGUUCAUGCCCUUGAACUGUUCCACUUGUGAAAUUUGCGCAAACAAAGUGGAUUCACUUCCUCGCCUAUCGCAUACCCAUCCCCCUAUGAAAUCAUGAUUGUCAAAUCCAAUAUACUUUGAGAUUGCUGCUAAAUUUCAGCACUUCAUUUUGGCCCUCACUCUCUGUGAAAUUCUUUCAAUGGGGUUUAUGAAAUGAUUGUGGGGACUGAAAUGGUGCUAUUUAUCGCUUUCGAUGUGAUUUGACUUUCACUUAAUGGUUCUUGCUUCUUGAAGUGGAAUGCACUUUCCUGGGCUGUAAAUGAAGUUUGCAAAAACAAGAACUGAUAGAGGCAAUAUUUCAGUAUUCAUUCAAGAGAGUAUAGUCAAGAAUACUCAUAAAAAUAUCUUUGUUAUGGUAGCAGUGUCAAUAAAUAAAAGCUGAGUAGCCUUUACAGCAUUUAUUACAUAUUGAGUUUCAGAGCAAAACAAGUGCUCAGAAACUAGUUCUUGAGCCUCGACCUUUAAAUAAGUUGCAAAAUCAUGUCUAUGAAACACAUUAUAGAAUACAACACCAAUAGACAGAUGGAUCAUGAAUUUUUCUUUCAAAACAAUGCACCCUUUUCCUGUCCUAGUAGUAUAAGGUUAAACUACCAUGCUGCUGGAGAUCUUUUCCUGCAGUUUUUCUGAGGAAUUCCAUUGUUUCCUAAAUGAAAAAGUGAUUUACAUGGAAGAUCAAUAUUUUCUGCUACUUGCAGCACCCUCUCAAGUUUAUCAAAAUACCAUUGGAAGUUUAAACAGAUCUUUAAAGUCAUUAAUGACACUGAUUCUACAGGAAAUUAGUCUCUUGUCAAAUUUUAUUCAAGAAAGUUAUAAACUGGAGAAAAAUAACUUUUUUUCCUAUAAAAAUGUUCACAAUUACAGUAAUAAGUUAACGUGCUAAUGCCCAAAAAUGUUAAUCUCAUGAUGAUGUUUUAGAGUUAAGAAAACUAAUUAGAUUCUGGUGUCAACCAUAGAUCCACGUUCAAGCUGCUAACUACUAAAAUGUGAAGAGCGACAAGUUCUCUUGUCAAACUUUGUUUCAUCUAAGAUUACUCAGUAGGCCUAACAGUGAUUAAGUUCUUGUAAUCUCCAAUUUUUCUUAAGACUAAUUUGUAAUUCACUAUGUGUAAGAUCAGAAACAGUUUACAAUAUUGUGCUCAAUACAUGAGUCUACAUCUGUGCCUUUUACAAGUAUGCUCUUGAAAUGUUGCAUCUUGACGGGUUUGAGGAAGCCCCCUUGACACCGCCAGAAGGUGCAGCCGCUAACGCUCUUCCUGCCGAUGGCAGAUAAGUGCCAAGCACGUAUCCACUCUCUGCCCAAGUGCAACCGGGUUCUUUCAAAGGCAUUCUCAUACCUACUCCAGUUUCUUUGCUCUCAUUUUGACAAAAGAUUGAAAUAACAAACAGAUGGAUCACCUGUGAGGAAGUGACAUUAGAGAAAGGCCUAAGACGUUGCUACCUCCCUCCCUCCGCGAGAGUUACCUCACUAUGAUUCAGAUAGUCCUAUAAGCGGCAAUAAGAGAAACGAAACCAGCUAAUCUAGAAAUGGGAUUCCCCCCUUAUGCAACUGCCAAGACUUAAGGGAAGGGAAGUUAAGAAAGCGAUAAAGCAUUAUCCAGACUCGAGGAGUGAUUUCGGGGAGUAUUACGUCAAGGGCCACAGCCCGGAACCAGACAACCAUGUUAAUUUGUUCAAUAUUUUAUUGAUAACCUCAAUAAGCAAUGAGUAAUGACACACCUACAUGUUGUAAUUGUUUUUGUUUGUUCUCGGUCGAUCCUGUUAUUUUUAUCAGAUUGUCAUGAUGCAGAAUGCAUGUAUCAUAUGUCAAGACGUUAUUUGUUUUAGGCUGAUGCCGAAUUUAUUUCUAUUUAUAUUGUAAUGAUCUAGGAUAUGUUUGUCAUCGUUGAGAUUGGAUCUAC
Lytechinus pictus (painted urchin) is the source of this 2641-nucleotide long non-coding RNA. RefSeq lists it as uncharacterized. Lineage: Eukaryota; Metazoa; Echinodermata; Echinoidea; Temnopleuroida; Toxopneustidae. The record is from RefSeq and is a predicted model, not a curated record. The transcript has 3 exons.